RNAcentral lists this ribosomal RNA (855 nucleotides) under Streptomyces glomeratus. Its description in RNAcentral is "bacterial SSU rRNA". It matches the Rfam family "Bacterial small subunit ribosomal RNA", at positions 45 to 917 of the family's 1533-position model. The record is from RNAcentral. Lineage: Bacteria; Bacillati; Actinomycetota; Actinomycetes; Kitasatosporales; Streptomycetaceae.
UGCUUAACACAUGCAAGUCGAACGAUGAACCACUUCGGUGGGGAUUAGUGGCGAACGGGUGAGUAACACGUGGGCAAUCUGCCCUUCACUCUGGGACAAGCCCUGGAAACGGGGUCUAAUACCGGAUAUGAGCCUGGGAGGCAUCUCCCGGGUUGUAAAGCUCCGGCGGUGAAGGAUGAGCCCGCGGCCUAUCAGCUUGUUGGUGAGGUAAUGGCUCACCAAGGCGACGACGGGUAGCCGGCCUGAGAGGGCGACCGGCCACACUGGGACUGAGACACGGCCCAGACUCCUACGGGAGGCAGCAGUGGGGAAUAUUGCACAAUGGGCGAAAGCCUGAUGCAGCGACGCCGCGUGAGGGAUGACGGCCUUCGGGUUGUAAACCUCUUUCAGCAGGGAAGAAGCGAAAGUGACGGUACCUGCAGAAGAAGCGCCGGCUAACUACGUGCCAGCAGCCGCGGUAAUACGUAGGGCGCAAGCGUUGUCCGGAAUUAUUGGGCGUAAAGAGCUCGUAGGCGGCUUGUCACGUCGAUUGUGAAAGCCCGAGGCUUAACCUCGGGUCUGCAGUCGAUACGGGCUAGCUAGAGUGUGGUAGGGGAGAUCGGAAUUCCUGGUGUAGCGGUGAAAUGCGCAGAUAUCAGGAGGAACACCGGUGGCGAAGGCGGAUCUCUGGGCCAUUACUGACGCUGAGGAGCGAAAGCGUGGGGAGCGAACAGGAUUAGAUACCCUGGUAGUCCACGCCGUANACGGUGGGAACUAGGUGUUGGCGACAUUCCACGUCGUCGGUGCCGCAGCUAACGCAUUAAUUCCCCCGCUGGGGAGUACGGCCCGCAGGCUUAAACUCAAAGGAUUGACGGG